This 415-nucleotide long non-coding RNA is filed under the name Chinchilla lanigera (long-tailed chinchilla). RNAcentral's name for it is "lncRNA (ENSCLAG00000028163.1)". Lineage: Eukaryota; Metazoa; Chordata; Mammalia; Rodentia; Chinchillidae. The record is from RNAcentral.
UUUGGGCCUCAGUUGCAACAGAAGAAGGGACUGGUACCCAGCUCGGUGGCUGAGCCAGCACCCUCAGGAAAGAGCCUUAGCCUAGGGCUUGGACAGUGUCGUUUACUCUUAUGCACUUUCCCCUAUCAGAGAUGAAUACCAGAAAGGAAGCAGGAAGCUCUGUGUGUAGCGGUCCAGUUGUGGGGCUUCACCAGGAAUUUACCCCAGACAUCACGGGAUUGGAUAUCAAGACCCCUCAUUGGGUUCAGCAGGUUUCCUUCAGGCCACAUUUCAACCCAAGAUUGGUGACCAUUAGAGGGUUUGUGAAAUCAGUGUGGUGGAUGGAGACCACCCCACCAUUAGGAAGAAAAAAUAACCCAGGAGUAAGGUACUGCUCUGUGAAAAUGUGUUUCAGUUUAGUGCAUGAUGGAUGGUG